GAUCAAGCUACAAAGGGCGCACGGUGAAUGCCCUGGCACUAGGAGCUGAUGAAGGACGUGAUAAGCUGCGAUAAGCUUCGAGUAGGUGCAAAUAACCUGUGAUUCGAAGAUGUCCGAAUGGGGAAACCCGGCAGGCUAACGCCUGUCACUAUAUGCUGAAUACAUAGGUAUAUAGAGGUAGACUCGGGGAACUGAAACAUCUAAGUACCCGAAGGAAGAGAAAGAAAAAUCGAUUUCCUGAGUAGCGGCGAGCGAAACGGAAAGAGCCCAAACCAGGAACUUGUUCCUGGGGUUGAGGAUAGAACAUAACGCUUUGAUUUUCUUAGCCAAAUAUAACUGGAAAGUUAAGCCGCAGAAGGUAAUAGCCCUGUAGGCGAAAAGAAAAGAAAAGUAGUUCUACUCCAGAGUACCACGAGACACGAGAAACCUUGUGGGAAGCAGGGAGGACCAUCUCCCAAGGCUAAAUACUACCUAGUGACCGAUAGUGAAGCAGUACCGUGAGGGAAAGGUGAAAAGAACCCCGGAAGGGGAGUGAAAUAGAACCUGAAACCGUGUGCCUACAAACGGUCGGAGCACUUUAUAUGUGUGACGGCGUGCUUUUUGUAGAACGAGCCAGCGAGUUACGAUAUACAGCAAGGUUAAGCACUUAAGGUGUGGAGCCGAAGGGAAACCGAGUCUGAAUAGGGCAACUAGUUGUAUGUCGUAGACCCGAAACCGAGUGACCUAUCCAUGGCCAGGUUGAAGCGAAAGUAAAAUUUCGUGGAGGACCGAACCACGUUGGUGUUGAAAAACCAUGGGAUGAGCUGUGGAUAGCGGAGAAAUUCCAAUCGAACUCGGAGAUAGCUGGUUCUCCUCGAAAUAGCUUUAGGGCUAGCGUCGGGUAAUUAAGUAAUGGAGGUAGAGCACUGAAUGGGCUAGGGGGCAUAGCGCUUACCGAACCCUAUCAAACUCCGAAUGCCAUAUACUUGUAUCCCGGCAGUCAGGCUGCGAGUGAUAAGAUCCGUGGCCAAAAGGGAAACAGCCCAGACCAUCAGCUAAGGUCCCAAAGUGUAAGUUAAGUGGGAAAGGAUGUGGGAUUUCUAAGACAACUAGGAUGUUGGCUUAGAAGCAGCCACUCAUUUAAAGAGUGCGUAAUAGCUCACUAGUCGAGAGAUCCUGCGCCGAAGAUGUACCGGGGCUAAAACUUACCACCGAAGCUAUGGAUGUACACUACGUGUACGUGGUAGAGGAGCUUUCUACACAGGCUGAAGCCAUACCGUAAGGAGUGGUGGACAGUGUAGAAGUGAGAAUGCUGGCAUAAGUAGCGAGAAACAGGUGAGAAUCCUGUUGGCCGAAUAUCUAAGGUUUCCUGGGGAAGGCUCGUCCUCCCAGGGUUAGUCGGGACCUAAGCCGAGGCCGAAAGGCGUAGGUGAUGGACAACUGGUUGAUAUUCCAGUACCACCAAUAUGCGUUUGACAGAUGGGAUGACGCAGGAGGAUAGGAUGUGCACACUAUUGGAUGUGUGUUCAAGCACUUAGGAGGACUAGACAGGAAAAUCCGUUUAGUCAUAACUCUGAGGUGUGAUGAGGAGCCAAUUGAGGCGAAGUAUCUGAUUCCACGCUGCCAAGAAAAGUCUCUAUGGAGUAUGUUGGUGCCCGUACCGCAAACCGACACAGGUAGAUGAGGAGAGAAUCCUAAGGCCGGCGGAAGAAUUACUGCUAAGGAACUCGGCAAAUUGACCCCGUAACUUAGGGAGAAGGGGUGCCUACGAGAGUAGGCCGCAGUGAACAGGCCCAAGCAACUGUUUAUCAAAAACACAGGUCUCUGCUAAAGCGUAAGCUGAUGUAUAGGGGCUGACGCCUGCCCGGUGCUGGAAGGUUAAGGGGAAUGGUUAGUCUUCGGGCGAAGCCAAGAACUUAAGCCCCAGUAAACGGCGGCCGUAACUAUAACGGUCCUAAGGUAGCGAAAUUCCUUGUCGGGUAAGUUCCGACCCGCACGAAUGGCGUAAUGAUUUGGGCACUGUCUCGGCAGUAAAUCCGGUGAAAUUGAAGUGUGAGUGAAGAUGCUCACUACCCGCGGUUGGACGGAAAGACCCCGUAGAGCUUUACUGUAGCUUAGCAUUGAAUUUCGGUAUUGUCUGUACAGGAUAGGUGGGAGACUGAGAAUCAGGGGCGUCAGCUUCUGAGGAGUCGACCUUGGGAUACCACCCUGACAGUAUUGGAAUUCUAACUGGCGGCCAUGAAUCUGGUCACAGGACAUUGCUAGGUGGGCAGUUUGACUGGGGCGGUCGCCUCCUAAAAGGUAACGGAGGCGCCCAAAGGUUCCCUCAGCGCGGUCGGAAAUCGCGCGAAGAGUGUAAAGGCAGAAGGGAGCCUGACUGCGAGACAUACAGGUCGAGCAGGGACGAAAGUCGGGCUUAGUGAUCCGGUGGUUCUGAAUGGAAGGGCCAUCGCUCAACGGAUAAAAGCUACCUCGGGGAUAACAGGCUGAUCUCCCCAAGAGUCCACAUCGACGGGGAGGUUUGGCACCUCGAUGUCGGCUCGUCGCAUCCUGGGGCUGUAGUCGGUCCCAAGGGUUGGGCUGUUCGCCCAUUAAAGCGGCACGCGAGCUGGGUUCAGAACGUCGUGAGACAGUUCGGUCCCUAUCCGCCGUGGGCGCAGGAAAUUUGAGAGGAGCUGUCCUUAGUACGAGAGGACCGGGAUGGACCAACCUCUGGUGCACCAGUUGUCACGCCAGUGGCACAGCUGGGUAGCUAUGUUGGGAAGGGAUAAACGCUGAAAGCAUCUAAGCGUGAAGCCCACCUCAAGAUUAGAUUUCCCAUAGCGUAAGCUAGUAAGACCCCUGGAAGACUACCAGGUUGAUAGGUCAGAGGUGUAAGCGUGGUAACAUGUUAAGCUGACUGAUACUAAUAGGUCGAGGGCUUGAUCAA
Molecule: ribosomal RNA, 2908 nt
Filed under: Clostridium sp. MB40-C1
Lineage: Bacteria; Bacillati; Bacillota; Clostridia; Eubacteriales; Clostridiaceae
Description: 23S ribosomal RNA
Rfam family: Bacterial large subunit ribosomal RNA
Source: RNAcentral